This 495-nucleotide ribosomal RNA is filed under the name uncultured bacterium. RNAcentral's name for it is "partial 16S ribosomal RNA". It matches the Rfam family "Bacterial small subunit ribosomal RNA", at positions 28 to 507 of the family's 1533-position model. The record is from RNAcentral.
GACGAACGCUGGCGGCGUGCCUAAUACAUGCAAGUAGAACGCUGAAGGAGGAGCUUGCUCUUCUGGAUGAGUUGCGAACGGGUGAGUAACGCGUAGGUAACCUGCCUGGUAGCGGGGGAUAACUAUUGGAAACGAUAGCUAAUACCGCAUAACAGUAGAUGUUGCAUGACAUUUGCUUAAAAGGUGCAAUUGCACCACUACCGGAUGGACCUGCGUUGUAUUAGCUAGUUGGUGGGGUAACGGCUCACCAAGGCGACGAUACAUAGCCGACCUGAGAGGGUGAUCGGCCACACUGGGACUGAGACACGGCCCAGACUCCUACGGGAGGCAGCAGUAGGGAAUCUUCGGCAAUGGACGGAAGUCUGACCGAGCAACGCCGCGUGAGUGAAGAAGGUUUUCGGAUCGUAAAGCUCUGUUGUAAGAGAAGAACGAGUGUGAGAGUGGAAAGUUCACACUGUGACGGUAUCUUACCAGAAAGGGACGGCUAACUACGUG